RNAcentral lists this ribosomal RNA (225 nucleotides) under uncultured Flavobacterium sp. RNAcentral describes it as "partial 16S ribosomal RNA". It matches the Rfam family "Bacterial small subunit ribosomal RNA", at positions 568 to 792 of the family's 1533-position model. Lineage: Bacteria; Pseudomonadati; Bacteroidota; Flavobacteriia; Flavobacteriales; Flavobacteriaceae. The record is from RNAcentral.
UCCGUAGGCGGUCUUAUAAGUCAGUGGUGAAAGCCCAUCGCUCAACGAUGGAACUGCCAUUGAUACUGUAAGACUUGAAUGCUUAGGAAGUAACUAGAAUAUGUAGUGUAGCGGUGAAAUGCUUAGAUAUUACAUGGAAUACCAAUUGCGAAGGCAGGUUACUACUAAUGGAUUGACGCUGAUGGACGAAAGCGUGGGUAGCGAACAGGAUUAGAUACCCGAGUA